This 365-nucleotide ribosomal RNA is filed under the name uncultured bacterium. Its description in RNAcentral is "bacterial SSU rRNA". It matches the Rfam family "Bacterial small subunit ribosomal RNA", at positions 352 to 732 of the family's 1533-position model. The record is from RNAcentral.
CAGUGGGGAAUAUUGGACAAUGGGCGAAAGCCUGAUCCAGCAAUGCCGCGUGAGUGAUGAAGGCCCUAGGGUUGUAAAGCUCUUUUACCCGGGAAGAUAAUGACUGUACCGGGAGAAUAAGCCCCGGCUAACUCCGUGCCAGCAGCCGCGGUAAUACGGAGGGGGCUAGCGUUGUUCGGAAUUACUGGGCGUAAAGCGCACGUAGGCGGCUUUGCAAGUCAGAGGUGAAAUCCCGGGGCUCAACCCCGGAAUUGCCUUUGAGACUGCAUCGCUAGAAUGUCGGAGAGGUAAGUGGAAUUCCGAGUGUAGAGGUGAAAUUCGUAGAUAUUCGGAAGAACACCAGUGGCGAGGGCGGACUCUACUGG